This 301-nucleotide ribosomal RNA is filed under the name uncultured bacterium. Its description in RNAcentral is "partial 16S ribosomal RNA". It matches the Rfam family "Bacterial small subunit ribosomal RNA", at positions 509 to 807 of the family's 1533-position model. The record is from RNAcentral.
CAGCAGCCGCGGUAAUACGUAGGUGGCAAGCGUUGUCCGGAAUUAUUGGGCGUAAAGCGCGCGCAGGUGGUUUAAUAAGUCUGAUGUGAAAGUCCACGGCUCAACCGUGGAGGGUCAUUGGAAACUGUUAAACUUGAGUGCAGGAGAGAAAAGUGGAAUUCCUAGUGUAGCGGUGAAAUGCGUAGAGAUUAGGAGGAACACCAGUGGCGAAGGCGGCUUUUUGGCCUGUAACUGACUCUGAGGCGCGAAAGCGUGGGGAGCAAACAGGAUUAGAUACCCGAGUAGUCCCUGUCUCUUAUAC